AAGACUAUACUUUCAGGGAUCAUUUCUACAGUUUGUUACUAGAGAAGUUUCUCUGACUGUGUAGAGCACUAAAAUGCUA
Molecule: small nucleolar RNA, 79 nt
Filed under: Pan paniscus (pygmy chimpanzee)
Lineage: Eukaryota; Metazoa; Chordata; Mammalia; Primates; Hominidae
Also listed under: 1 other name
Description: Small nucleolar RNA U3
Rfam family: Small nucleolar RNA U3
About the family: Small nucleolar RNAs (snoRNAs) are involved in the processing and modification of rRNA in the nucleolus. There are two main classes of snoRNAs: the box C/D class, and the box H/ACA class. U3 snoRNA is a member of the box C/D class.
Source: Rfam by way of RNAcentral